CCUACGUGAGGCAGCAGUGAGGAAUAUUGGUCAAUGGACGAGAGUCUGAACCAGCCAAGUAGCGUGAAGGAUGACUGCCCUAUGGGUUGUAAACUUCUUUUAUAAAGGAAUAAAACGAGGCACGUGUGCCUUUUUGCAUGUACUUUAUGAAUAAGGAUCGGCUAACUCUGUGCCAGCAGCCGCGGUAAUACGGAGGAUGCGAGCGUUAUCCGGAUUUAUUGGGUUUAAAGGGUGCGUAGGCGGUUUUUUAAGUUAGUGGUUAAACGUCGGGGCUUCACCUUGAUUUGCCAUUAAUACUGUAAGACUCGAGUUCAGACGAGGUAGGCGGAAUAAGUUAAGUAGCGGUGAAAUGCUUAGAUAUAACUUAGAACUCCGAUAGCGAAGGCAGCUUACCAGACUGCGACUGACGCUGAAGCACGAGAGCGUGGGUAGCGAACAGGAUUAGAUACCCCGGUAGUC
This 459-nucleotide ribosomal RNA is filed under the name uncultured bacterium. RNAcentral describes it as "partial 16S ribosomal RNA". It matches the Rfam family "Bacterial small subunit ribosomal RNA", at positions 338 to 795 of the family's 1533-position model. The record is from RNAcentral.